AUACGGGGGGUGCAAGCGUUGUUCGGAUUUACUGGGCGUAAAGCGCGUGCAGGCGGGUCGGCAAGUCCUGUGUGUAAUCCCCCGGCUUAACCGGGAAACUGCAUGGGAAACUAUCGAUCUUGAGUGCGAGAGAGGAUGGCGGAAUUCCUGGUGUAGCGGUGAAAUGCGUAGAUAUCAGGAGGAACACCGGUGGCGAAGGCGGCCAUCUGGAUCGACACUGACGCUGAGACGCGAAGGCCGGGGGAGCAAACAGGAUUAGAAACCCGGGUAGUCC
Molecule: ribosomal RNA, 274 nt
Filed under: uncultured bacterium
Lineage: Bacteria
Description: partial 16S ribosomal RNA
Rfam family: Bacterial small subunit ribosomal RNA
Source: RNAcentral